UGAGGAAGGAGAAGUCGUAACAAGGUUUCCGUAGGUGAACCUGCGGAAGGAUCAUUGUCGUAUCCCGGCCCCUCGGCACACUCGCGAACUGUCCCAUCCCGUCCUUCUCGGCUCGGCAGGUAGGACGCCCCGCCCGCCCCCGCAGCCGCGGCCGCGCGCGGGACGCCCACCGGCCGACCGACCGACCGACGACGAACCUUUUUUCGGCGCGGUCUGCGCCAAGGAACACCGACCGAAGAGAACGCCCGCGCCGUCCUCGCUCCGUGCCUGGCCGCGCGGGCGCUCCUAUUACGUACAGCCACGGCAAAUCUUAACGACUCCCGGCAACGGAUAUCUAGGCUCUCGCAUCGAUGAAGAACGUAGCGAAAUGCGAUACGUGGUGUGAAUUGCAGAAUCCCGUGAACCAUCGAAUCUUUGAACGCAAGUUGCGCCCGAGGCCGUCAGGCCGAGGGCACGCCUGCCUGGGCGUCACGCCCCGCGUCGCUCCCACUCCCCCCGCCGCCCGCACCGCGCGGCGGCGGCGGCGGCCGUGGGACGCGGAGAUUGGCCUGCCGUGCUGCGGCGCGGCGGGCCGAAGUGCUCGAACCCUUCCCCGUGCGUGGGACGAGAACACGGCGAGUGGUGGAUUGGAUCGGACCGACCGACUCAUCGUCGCCGUGCCCUUCUCGCGCCCGGCGGGCGGGAUUCACGAAACCCAGCCGCGAGCGGCCGUGUUCGGAGGCGCCGCGCGCCGCCGACGCCCGCUCCGACCGCGACCCCAGGUCAGGCGGGGCCACCCGCUGAGUUUAAGCAUAUCAAUAAGCGGAGGAA
RNAcentral lists this ribosomal RNA (810 nucleotides) under Aridarum incavatum. RNAcentral describes it as "eukaryotic LSU rRNA". The stretch from base 316 to 471 matches the Rfam family "5.8S ribosomal RNA". The record is from RNAcentral. Lineage: Eukaryota; Viridiplantae; Streptophyta; Magnoliopsida; Alismatales; Araceae.